CUUUCAAUUAGCAAUGAUCAAGGGAACCAGAAAGCAGUGCCUAGCAUACCUUCCUCUGCUAAAUCCUGAUAAAGACAGAUAAAAUGGGGUUUUCUCCUGCCAGAGCAUCAGGACUCAGGUGCACAGAUAGGUUUUGAUUAGAGAAAGUAGAAGGACUUUGCAAUUUAUGUUACAAGAGAAAUGGAGCAGAGUCUGACUGGAGACUAACUAUGGAGAGCUGGGUCAGGGUUUUGAAUGUCUCCUUUCCACAAAAUAUAGUCACAAAUGAGUCCUAUAACAAUCUGAAUGAGGGCUAGGAAAUUAAAGUGGAAAAUUAACACCGUUGGGAUUGGAAAGCAAAGAAACUCUGAGGAUAGCUAGACAACUGUCAGAAGUAAUUCUUCAGUAAUUUUACCCAAACUAAGCUUCAGCUCUAUUUACUGCAAACUCAGCAGAACAUGAUCAAUCUGGAUAACCUCACAUACUUUUUACUAGAGAUGACACCAAUUUUGUGAAAAAGUAUAUUUCCAAAACCAACUGAACCAGCUUCAAAGUAAGUAGCACAUGGUAGAACAAACCUGAUAGUAGUUAGUUCAUGGUAAUAGCUUUAAAUAUAAGAAUUUUAAUUGUCUUACAUAAUUAUACAAUGCAGGAACUGCUGAAAAAUAUUAGUAAAUUGCCCAAAAUGUUCUUUAAAUCACACUGAACCUAUUAUUUUGUUUCUUUUGAAAAUUUAGUAGAUUACUAAAUCUUGGGAUGUAAUUGAUUGUUCAGAAGACUGCAUGUGGAGCAC
RNAcentral lists this long non-coding RNA (772 nucleotides) under Homo sapiens (human). Its description in RNAcentral is "HSALNT0077424". The record is from RNAcentral. Lineage: Eukaryota; Metazoa; Chordata; Mammalia; Primates; Hominidae.